Molecule: ribosomal RNA, 557 nt
Filed under: uncultured archaeon
Lineage: Archaea
Description: bacterial SSU rRNA
Rfam family: Archaeal small subunit ribosomal RNA
Source: RNAcentral
CCCUACGGGGUGCAGCAGGCGCGAAACCUCCGCAAUGCUCGAAAGAGCGACGGGGGGAUCUCAAGUGCCCACGCUUUGCGCGGGCUGUUUCUAUAUCUAAAAAGUAUGGAGAGUAAGAGCUGGGUAAGACGGGUGCCAGCCGCCGCGGUAAUACCUGCGGCUCUAGUGGUGGCCGCUAUUAUUGGGCCUAAAGCGUUCGUAGCCGGUCGGGUAAAUGCUUGGGUAAAUCGCGUGGCUCAACCAUGCGAAUUCCUAGUAGACUGCUCGACUAGGGACCGGGAGAAGUUGGAAGAAUUCCAGGGGUAGGGGUGAAAUCCUGUAAUCCUUGGAGGACUACCGGUAGCGAAGGCGUCCAACUAGAACGGGUCCGACGGUGAGGGACGAAGCCCUGGGGAGCGAACCGGAUUAGAUACCCGGGUAGUCCAGGGUGUAAACGAUGUGGGCUUCGCAUUGGAGGUCCCAAUGAGGGCGUCCAGUGCGGGAACGAAGGCGUUAAGCCCACCGCCUGGGAAGUACGGUCGCAAGGCUGAAACUUAAAGGAAUUGGCGGGGGAGCAC